UUAUUCAUGCUAGGGCAAUGACACAGCUAUUGAGGUUCUAACUGAGGCACGUCUAUUGCUGGUUGAAAACUAUUUCCAAGAAAUAUUUGUUAUUCAUGCUUAUAAUUAUUAAUCUUGAACUACACAUACAUAUUUGUACUUUUUCUCUA
Small nuclear RNA from Solanum dulcamara, 149 nucleotides. RefSeq annotates it as U4 spliceosomal RNA. The record is from RefSeq and is a predicted model, not a curated record. The transcript has a single exon. NCBI's taxonomy places the organism in Eukaryota, Viridiplantae, Streptophyta, Magnoliopsida, Solanales, Solanaceae.